GACGAACGCUGGCGGCGUGCUUAACACAUGCAAGUCGAACGGAAAGGCCCUGCUUGCAGGGUGCUCGAGUGGCGAACGGGUGAGUAACACGUGGGUGAUCUGCCCCUUACUUUGGGAUAAGCCUGGGAAACUGGGUCUAAUACUGGAUAGGACCAUGCUGUAGGUGGUGUGGUGGAAAGAUUAGUUUCGGUAAGGGAUGAGCUCGCGGCCUAUCAGCUUGUUGGUGGGGUAAUGGCCUACCAAGGCGUCGACGGGUAGCCGGCCUGAGAGGGUGGACGGCCACAUUGGGACUGAGAUACGGCCCAGACUCCUACGGGAGGCAGCAGUGGGGAAUAUUGCACAAUGGGCGCAAGCCUGAUGCAGCGACGCCGCGUGGGGGAUGACGGCCUUCGGGUUGUAAACUCCUUUCAGCCAUGACGAAGCCCUUGUGGUGGCGGUAGUGGUAGAAGAAGCACCGGCUAACUACGUG
Molecule: ribosomal RNA, 469 nt
Filed under: uncultured bacterium
Lineage: Bacteria
Description: partial 16S ribosomal RNA
Rfam family: Bacterial small subunit ribosomal RNA
Source: RNAcentral